This 440-nucleotide ribosomal RNA is filed under the name uncultured Exiguobacterium sp. RNAcentral describes it as "bacterial SSU rRNA". It matches the Rfam family "Bacterial small subunit ribosomal RNA", at positions 358 to 790 of the family's 1533-position model. Lineage: Bacteria; Bacillati; Bacillota; Bacilli; Caryophanales. The record is from RNAcentral.
GGAAUCUUCCACAAUGGACGAAAGUCUGAUGGAGCAACGCCGCGUGAGUGAUGAAGGUUUUCGGAUCGUAAAACUCUGUUGUAAGGGAAGAACAGGCAUGAGAGGUAAUGCUCAUGCUAUGACGGUACCUUACGAGAAAGCCACGGCUAACUACGUGCCAGCAGCCGCGGUAAUACGUAGGUGGCAAGCGUUGUCCGGAAUUAUUGGGCGUAAAGCGCGCGCAGGCGGCCUUUUAAGUCUGAUGUGAAAGCCCCCGGCUCAACCGGGGAGGGUCAUUGGAAACUGGAAGGCUUGAGUACAGAAGAGAAGAGUGGAAUUCCAUGUGUAGCGGUGAAAUGCGUAGAGAUGUGGAGGAACACCAGUGGCGAAGGCGACUCUUUGGUCUGUAACUGACGCUGAGGCGCGAAAGCGUGGGGAGCAAACAGGAUUAGAUACCCCAG